CAAUAGCGUAUAUUAAAGUUGUUGCAGUUAAAAAGCUCGUAGUUGGAUUUCUGAUCGAGACAUCAGGUCGGGUCCGAGAGGAUCAUGUACUUUGAUUUUGUUUUGAUCAUACUUGGGGAGAGCAUUUCUGGCAUUCAGUUGUCGGGAUUGGGAUCCUCAUCGUUUACUGUGAAAAAAUUAGAGUGUUCAAAGCAGGCCUCGGCCUCUGAAUACAUUAGCAUGGAAUAAUAAGAUAGGACUUUGGUGGUCUAUUUUGUUGGUUUGCACGCCAAAGUAAUGAUUAAUAGGGAUAGUUGGGGGUAUUCGUAUUCAAUUGUCAGAGGUGAAAUUCUUGGAUUUAUGGAAGACGAACUACUGCGAAAGCAUUUACCAAGGAUGUUUUCAUUAA
Molecule: ribosomal RNA, 388 nt
Filed under: uncultured eukaryote
Lineage: Eukaryota
Description: partial 18S ribosomal RNA
Rfam family: Eukaryotic small subunit ribosomal RNA
Source: RNAcentral